UCUUUGUAGUUUGCACACCGACGAGCAAUAUAUGGUGUGGAAGGUAGAUCUACGUUACAAAGUCAGCUAUUUAAAGCGUUGCUCUUGAGCAUCAUUCUGUCGAAUUUCCUACCAAGUUCAGCUACUAUAUCUACAAGUGUACUACUCUAUUCAAGAUGAAUCAAGUAAUGACUAUAUUCCUGGUUCUUGGAGUGAUUGUCUACAGCGUCGAAUCGUCGUUGACUCCAUCUUCAGACAUUCCCUGGGAGAAGUGCCGACAUGAUUGUUUUGCUAAGUAUAUGUCUUGUCAAAUGUCAGACUCCUGCCACAACAAACCAUCGUGUCGUCAGUGCCAAGUUACGUAUGCAAUCUGCGUAAGUACUGGCUGCCCCUGAACCCGUCUACGACUAUGAUGUUCAAAGGACGCUGCUUACCAAUCGAAAACCAAUUUUUGUUUGAAAUAAAUGUGCUAAUUAUUCUAUCGAAA
Molecule: long non-coding RNA, 466 nt
Organism: Actinia tenebrosa (Australian red waratah sea anemone)
Lineage: Eukaryota; Metazoa; Cnidaria; Anthozoa; Actiniaria; Actiniidae
Source: RefSeq, a predicted model, not a curated record